Molecule: ribosomal RNA, 253 nt
Filed under: uncultured bacterium
Lineage: Bacteria
Description: partial 16S ribosomal RNA
Rfam family: Bacterial small subunit ribosomal RNA
Source: RNAcentral
UACGGAGGGUGCAAGCAUUGAUCGGAAUUACUGGGCGUAAAGGGCGCGUAGGCGGACCGGAAAGUCAAAUGUGAAAUUCCACGGCUCAACCGUGGAGCUGCAUUUGAAACUUCCAGUCUUGAGCAUAGUUAGGGAAAACGGAAUUCCACGUGUAGCGGUGAAAUGCGUAGAUAUGUGGAAGAACACCAGUGGUGAAGACGGUUUUCUGGGCUAUUGCUGACGCUGAGGCGCGAAAGCUAGGGGAGCAAACAGG